AGAGUUUGAUCAUGGCUCAGAACGAACGCUGGCGGCGUACUUAACACAUGCAAGUCGUACGAGAAAGGGGACUUCGGUCUCUGAGUAAAGUGGCGUACGGGUGCGUAACACGUAAGUAAUCUACCCCGAACUCUGGGAUAACUCUCCGAAAGGAGGGCUAAGACUGGAUAGGGUCCCUGAGGUGUAGGCUGCAGGGGGAAAACGGGCCUCUGUUUCAUGCUCGUGGUGCGGGAUGAGCUUGCGGCCCAUUAGCUUGUUGGUAGGGUAAUGGCCUACCAAGGCGACGAUGGGUAGCUGGUCUGAGAGGAUGAUCAGCCACACUGGCACUGAGACACGGGCCAGACUCCUACGGGAGGCAGCAGUGGGGAAUUUUGCGCAAUGGGCGAAAGCCUGACGCAGUAACGCCGCGUGGAGGAUGAAGGCCUUCGGGUCGUAAAGCUCUGUGGGGAGGGACGAACCGCUGCACGUUCAUAGCGUGCAGCAUGACGGUACCUCCUUAGCAAGCACCGGCUAACUUCGUGCCAGCAGCCGCGGUAAUUC
This 540-nucleotide ribosomal RNA is filed under the name uncultured bacterium. Its description in RNAcentral is "bacterial SSU rRNA". It matches the Rfam family "Bacterial small subunit ribosomal RNA", at positions 8 to 526 of the family's 1533-position model. The record is from RNAcentral.